This 706-nucleotide ribosomal RNA is filed under the name Acinetobacter baumannii. Its description in RNAcentral is "bacterial SSU rRNA". It matches the Rfam family "Bacterial small subunit ribosomal RNA", at positions 173 to 870 of the family's 1533-position model. The record is from RNAcentral. Lineage: Bacteria; Pseudomonadati; Pseudomonadota; Gammaproteobacteria; Moraxellales; Moraxellaceae.
UACGUCCUUUACGGGAGAAAGCAGGGGAUCUUCGGACCUUGCGGUAUAGAUGAGCCUAAGUCGGAUUAGCUAGUUGGUGGAAGUAAAGGCCUACCAAGGCGACGAUCUGUAGCGGGUCUGAGAGGAUGAUCCGCCACACUGGGACUGAGACACGGCCCAGACUCCUACGGGAGGCAGCAGUGGGGAAUAUUGGACAAUGGGGGGAACCCUGAUCCAGCCAUGCCGCGUGUGUGAAGAAGGCCUUAUGGUUGUAAAGCACUUUAAGCGAGGAGGAGGCUACUUUAGUUAAUACCUAGAGAUAGUGGACGUUACUCGCAGAAUAAGCACCGGCUAACUCUGUGCCAGCAGCCGCGGUAAUACAGAGGGUGCGCGUUAAUCGGAUUUACUGGGCGUAAAGGGCGUGCGUAGGCGGCUUAUUAAGUCGGAUGUGAAAUCCCCGAGCUUAACUUGGGAAUUGCAUUCGAUACUGGUGAGCUAGAGUAUGGGAGAGGAUGGUAGAAUUCCAGGUGUAGCGGUGAAAUGCGUAGAGAUCUGGAGGAAUACCGAUGGCGAAGGCAGCCAUCUGGCCUAAUACUGACGCUGAGAGUACGAAAGCAUGGGGAGCAAACAGGAUUAGAUACCCUGGUAGUCCAUGCCGUAAACGAUGUCUACUAGCCGUUGGGGCCUUAAGAGGCUUUAGUGGCGCAGCUAACGCGAUAAGUAGACC